This 76-nucleotide small RNA is filed under the name bovine gut metagenome. Its description in RNAcentral is "RAGATH-35 RNA". It matches the Rfam family "RAGATH-35 RNA", at positions 9 to 83 of the family's 87-position model. From Rfam's summary of the family: Clostridium (Firmicutes). Nearby to self-cleaving ribozyme genes The record is from RNAcentral.
CGCAGCAUGGCUUUGGUGCUUCGGAACGGCGGACAGCAGCUCCUAAGCGGUUUUUAUUUCCCUUAUCCGUAUGAGA